This 496-nucleotide ribosomal RNA is filed under the name uncultured bacterium. Its description in RNAcentral is "partial 16S ribosomal RNA". It matches the Rfam family "Bacterial small subunit ribosomal RNA", at positions 29 to 507 of the family's 1533-position model. The record is from RNAcentral.
AUGAACGCUGGCGGCGUGCCUAAUACAUGCAAGUCGAGCGAACAGAUGAGGAGCUUGCUCCUCUGACGUUAGCGGCGGACGGGUGAGUAACACGUGGAUAACCUACCUAUAAGACUGGGAUAACUUCGGGAAACCGGAGCUAAUACCGGAUAAUAUAUUGAACCGCAUGGUUCAAUAGUGAAAGACGGUUUUGCUGUCACUUAUAGAUGGAUCCGCGCCGCAUUAGCUAGUUGGUAAGGUAACGGCUUACCAAGGCAACGAUGCGUAGCCGACCUGAGAGGGUGAUCGGCCACACUGGAACUGAGACACGGUCCAGACUCCUACGGGAGGCAGCAGUAGGGAAUCUUCCGCAAUGGGCGAAAGCCUGACGGAGCAACGCCGCGUGAGUGAUGAAGGUCUUCGGAUCGUUAAACUCUGUUAUUAGGGAAGAACAAAUGUGUAAGUAACUAUGCACGUCUUGACGGUACCUAAUCAGAAAGCCACGGCUAACUACGUG